This is a long non-coding RNA of Haliotis rubra (blacklip abalone), 299 nucleotides long. RefSeq lists it as uncharacterized. The record is from RefSeq and is a predicted model, not a curated record. The transcript is spliced from 3 exons. NCBI's taxonomy places the organism in Eukaryota, Metazoa, Mollusca, Gastropoda, Lepetellida, Haliotidae.
CCUCAGGGUUUGACACUCACUGAUUUCUCCCACUUGCCAAGAGGCCAAGUAGAAAAGUUAAACUACUUGCCCAUCACAGAUACUACUUACCCCAUGUUUCUUAUGGUAUAGAAAGAACUAGACAAACAAAACACAGCAAGUGAAGAGUUUUAAUGAAUGAAUUGAGGUUAGAAGUUGAAAAAAUAUGUACUUGCCACUCGGGCAAGCCUUUUGGCAAUUUUACUUGCCCUGAUUAAUUAGUACUUGCCACGGGCAAGCGGACAAGCAUGAGUGUCGAACCCUGGUACAGUUAAAUAGCA